RNAcentral lists this long non-coding RNA (1159 nucleotides) under Helianthus annuus (common sunflower). Its description in RNAcentral is "hypothetical non coding rna". Lineage: Eukaryota; Viridiplantae; Streptophyta; Magnoliopsida; Asterales; Asteraceae. The record is from RNAcentral.
UUUGUGUUUUCUCCUCUCCAUUGAAGCCGCUUCGAUUCUUUCUUUGAGGUAUCCUGCAAUCCUCAACUCGAACCCUAAUUGGUGGUCCAAUUGCUUUUAUUGUUAAUUACAGAGGUGGUGUCGCAGACAUGGCGACGACCUUUCUGCUCAACUUGCUAGGGUUCCGACACUAUGUUCAUGAGUUCCUUCACUUUGAAGUUUAAGAUCUCUCACUACGUGAAGUUCAUCUGCCCCUCAAUUUUUAGUUUUCUAGCAUCUGGAAGAGGAAGAGAUAUCAGUCCCACAUUUUGAGUUUGCUGUUGGUGAAGGAUCUUAACCAGUGGAAGAUCGACAUCAGGGAUAAGCCUGAAUUAAAGAAGUUUUUUGCCUCCACAAAUUUUGAUUGGUACGCAGGUUUGAUGCUGUUAUACAUUUUGCUGGAUAUAAGGCUGUUGGCGAAAGUGUGCAGAAGCCAUUGAAGUAUUACGACAAAGUUCCCGUCUUGGCUCCGAAUACUCCCCGACAAUUGAACCAUUUCAGCUUUAUCUACCCUUUACAUCCGAAAGCACUGGUGCAAUUCUACAUGAGUUACCAUAGCUUAAUACUUCUGAUACAUGGGCUACACGGCAGACUCUACGUCACAUUGGGUAGAAGCAUUGCAUGAAGUUUCUGGCCGUCGGAAGACAGAGGAAGCUUCUAUGACUACAAAACGAUUAAAGAGUUACUCGAAUCGCGAAAAGCUUCUUCACAGUAUACAUUCGGAAAUAGCGAUGGUUCAGGAAGCAUGUCGACAUUAAAAAGUUGCAUUUUUGCAAAGAAACACAUAACAACUAUUAUCACAACCCUCCAUCGUCUUACUAUGCUUGGUUUGUGCUUGAAUCAUGUCUUUCUUUAAAAGAUGUUCUGAUGCAAAGUCUGAUUAUUAUACAAUUAGCCUACAAGUUGUUAGAGGUAUACUCCACUUUAACUAUGAUAGUAUCUGCCAUAGAAGAACUGCAAGGAAUGACUUUAAAACGACAAUGAAAAAAGGCUUCUCCACAAUUGGAGGAAAAAGUGACACUCUAUUGCUACUCCAUUGAUCUUUAGAAGAUGGUUCCAUGGUCAUGGUUGUUAGAAAAAGUAAACAUUUUACUGUGUAAGUCAUGUCUCACUUAACUGUUUUUAAUGUGUUAUCAUUGUU